RNAcentral lists this ribosomal RNA (531 nucleotides) under Monomia gladiator. RNAcentral's name for it is "partial large subunit ribosomal RNA". It matches the Rfam family "Archaeal large subunit ribosomal RNA", at positions 1921 to 2666 of the family's 2987-position model. Lineage: Eukaryota; Metazoa; Arthropoda; Malacostraca; Decapoda; Portunidae. The record is from RNAcentral.
GUCUAUUACGGUGAUAUUUAUAGUCUAGCCUGCUCAGUGACAUAAAAGUGUUAAAUAGCCGCGGUAUCCUGACCGUGCAAAGGUAGCAUAAUCAUUAGUUUUUUAAUUGGAAACUAGAAUGAAUGGUUGGACAAGAAAAAAACUGUCUUUUUUAUUAAAAUUGAAAUUAACUUUUAAGUGAAAAGGCUUAAAAUUUACUAAGGGGACGAUAAGACCCUAUAAAGCUUUAUAAAUUCAGAGAUUUUAGAUAUUUUAUAUAUAAAUUUAUUUUUUGAUAAUUUAUUUGGUUGGGGCGACAAGGGUAUAAUUAUAAAUAACUGCCAUUAAUGUUUAUACAUAUAUUUUUGAUUUAAAUUUAAUAUAGUAGUUGAUCCUUUUUAAGGAUUUAAAGAUCAAGUUACUUUAGGGAUAACAGCGUAAUUUCUUCUGAGAGUUCUUAUCAAAGAAGAAGUUUGCGACCUCGAUGUUGAAUUAAAAUGUCUUUAUAGUGCAGCAGCUAUAAAAGAAGGUCUGUUCGACCUUUAAUUUUUU